GGAGAUAUUAAAUUGUUGUUUGUGAUAUCAAGUGGCUUGCCUACAAUAAAGGACCAUGAGCAUGUCACUGAUUUGGAAAUGCUUUCACUGCUACCUGUUAUUAAUCAUCCGAUUUCUUACUUCUUCCAUCUAUGCAGGAAUGACGUGAAGAGAGUCCUCCCCGUUCUUAAUCAUUUGAUUUCUUACGCCUUUCAUGUAUCUCUGGAUAUAGCGAGAGAAGUUACAUGAAACACAAAAGAGGGGAGCUAAAGAUUUUCAAAGUGGAGUAUGUUCUCCAAUGAGAUGUAGAAGGAAGACUUUGAUUUCAAGUUCUAGAUGAACGCAAUAAUCUUGGUGGAAGGCUGUGAGCCUGUGUAUGUAGUUGCCCACUACAAGGAGCCAAGGCAAAUGAUGUGCCUCUUUAAGACAAAUUCUAGAAAAUAAAGCGAGCAGAUUUUGCUCUUAGGAAAUGAACCAUAAUGUUUCCUAUACUUAAUUAGUUCCAUUAGUUUAUAGGAAAUUUUGAUGGUCAUUAGUUCAUAACAGAUGAUGUAUUUAUAUGGGAAAAUUAAUGAAUGUGUGUUAUUAUUGUUUGCA
This is a long non-coding RNA of Hordeum vulgare subsp. vulgare (domesticated barley), 576 nucleotides long. RefSeq lists it as uncharacterized. The record is from RefSeq and is a predicted model, not a curated record. The transcript is spliced from 2 exons. Lineage: Eukaryota; Viridiplantae; Streptophyta; Magnoliopsida; Poales; Poaceae.